This 88-nucleotide microRNA precursor is filed under the name Nelumbo nucifera (sacred lotus). Its description in RNAcentral is "MIR396 microRNA precursor family". It matches the Rfam family "MIR396 microRNA precursor family". Lineage: Eukaryota; Viridiplantae; Streptophyta; Magnoliopsida; Proteales; Nelumbonaceae. The record is from Rfam by way of RNAcentral.
UGUCAUGCUUUUCCACAGCUUUCUUGAACUUCUGCUGAUCUCUAGAUCAAGUGAAGAGGUUCAAGAAAGCUGUGGGAAGACAUGGCGA